ACGCUCGACACCUACGGGGGGCAGCAGUGGGGAAUAUUGCACAAUGGGGGAAACCCUGAUGCAGCGACGCCGCGUGAGCGAAGAAGUAUUUCGGUAUGUAAAGCUCUAUCAGCAGGGAAGAAAAUGACGGUACCUGACUAAGAAGCCCCGGCUAACUACGUGGCAGCAGCCGCGGUAAUCUGAGCGGGCUGGCAAGGC
RNAcentral lists this ribosomal RNA (198 nucleotides) under uncultured bacterium. Its description in RNAcentral is "partial 16S ribosomal RNA". It matches the Rfam family "Bacterial small subunit ribosomal RNA", at positions 328 to 539 of the family's 1533-position model. The record is from RNAcentral.